RNAcentral lists this ribosomal RNA (253 nucleotides) under uncultured bacterium. RNAcentral's name for it is "partial 16S ribosomal RNA". It matches the Rfam family "Bacterial small subunit ribosomal RNA", at positions 524 to 776 of the family's 1533-position model. The record is from RNAcentral.
CACGGGGGGAGCAAGCGUUGUUCGGAAUCACUGGGCGUAAAGGGCGUGUAGGCGGUUUGGUAAGUGGGAUGUGAAAUGCCUCGGCUCACCCGAGGACCGGCAUCCCAAACUGCCAAGCUUGAGUAUGGGAGAGGAUGUGGGAAUUCCUGGUGUAGCGGUGAAAUGCGUAGAUAUCAGGAGGAACACCGGUGGCGAAGGCGCACAUCUGCCCCAAUACUGACGCUGAGGCGCGAAAGCUAGGGGAGCAAACGGG